CCUACGGGAGACAGCAGUGAGUAAUAUUGGUCAAUGGACGAGAGUCUGAACCAGCCAAGUAGCGUGAAGGAUGACUGCCCUAUGGGUUGUAAACUUCUUUUAUAAAGGAAUAAAACGAGGCACGUGUGCCUUUUUGCAUGUACUUUAUGAAUAAGGAUCGGCUAACUCCGUGCCAGCAGCCGCGGUAAUACGGAGGAUCCGAGCGUUAUCCGGAUUUAUUGGGUUUAAAGGGAGCGUAGAUGGGUUGUUAAGUCAGUUGUGAAAGUUUGCGGCUCAACCGUAAAAUUGCAAUUGAUACUGGCAGUCUUGAGUACAGUUGAGGUAGGCGGAAUUCGUGGUGUAGCGGUGAAAUGCUUAGAUAUCACGAAGAACCCCGAUUGCGAAGGCAGCUUGCUAAACUGUGACUGACAUUGAUGCUCGAAAGUGUGGGUAUCAAACAGGAUUAGAUACCCUAGUAGUC
This 460-nucleotide ribosomal RNA is filed under the name uncultured bacterium. RNAcentral's name for it is "partial 16S ribosomal RNA". It matches the Rfam family "Bacterial small subunit ribosomal RNA", at positions 338 to 795 of the family's 1533-position model. The record is from RNAcentral.